RNAcentral lists this ribosomal RNA (571 nucleotides) under Botryosphaeria dothidea. Its description in RNAcentral is "eukaryotic LSU rRNA". It matches the Rfam family "Eukaryotic large subunit ribosomal RNA", at positions 62 to 648 of the family's 3401-position model. RNAcentral also lists the same sequence under 1 other name. The record is from RNAcentral. Lineage: Eukaryota; Fungi; Ascomycota; Dothideomycetes; Botryosphaeriales; Botryosphaeriaceae.
AAACCAACAGGGAUUGCCUUAGUAACGGCGAGUGAAGCGGCAACAGCUCAAAUUUGAAAGCUGGCUCCUUUGGAGUCCGCGUUGUAAUUUGUAGAGGAUGAUUCGGCAAGGGCUCCCGCCUAAGUCUCCUGGAACGGAGCGUCAUAGAGGGUGAGAAUCCCGUAUGCGGUGGGCUGCCUAAGCCAUGUGAAUCUCCUUCGACGAGUCGAGUUGUUUGGGAAUGCAGCUCUAAAUGGGAGGUAAAUUUCUUCUAAAGCUAAAUACCGGCCAGAGACCGAUAGCGCACAAGUAGAGUGAUCGAAAGAUGAAAAGCACUUUGGAAAGAGAGUUAAAAAGUACGUGAAAUUGUUGAAAGGGAAGCGCUUGCAGCCAGACUUGUCCGCAGUUGCUCAGCCGGUCUCCUGACCGGUGUACUCUUCUGCGGCCAGGCCAGCAUCAGUUCGGGCGGUCGGAUAAAGACCUCGGGAAUGUAGCUCCUCUCGGGGAGUGUUAUAGCCCGGGGUGGAAUGCGGCCAGCCUGGACUGAGGAUCUCGCUUCGGCUAGGAUGCUGGCGUAAUGGCUGUAAGCGGC